CAAACAUAUAUUUGACAACGGUGAAGAACGAGGACAAGAUGGAGUUCAGUAAAGUCCUUGAGGCUAUUAAGGCAAACUUUAAUGACAAAUAUGAAGAGAACCGGAAGAAGUGGGGAGGAGGGAUAAUGGGAUCCAAAUCACAGGCCAAGACUAAGGCUAAAGAGAGAGUUCUAGCCAAGGAAGCUGCUCAGAGGAUGAAUUAAUCUAUAGUUUUAUAUUUUGCCUUAAAAAGUCUUUUGUUUUAGCUGUUGGGACCCCUCUUUACACCGCCUUGAGUAUCCCAUAUUUGACUUGGGCUUUAUGGAA
Molecule: long non-coding RNA, 306 nt
Organism: Brassica napus (rape)
Lineage: Eukaryota; Viridiplantae; Streptophyta; Magnoliopsida; Brassicales; Brassicaceae
Exons: 2
Source: RefSeq, a predicted model, not a curated record